GGGAGAGGGAAUGGCAACUAUCCAAACCACUUCUAUGAGGGAGAAGACUGAAGUCAGAGGAAGAUGUCACCAAAUCUGAAUAAAGAGGUGGAAACAGUCUCAGGUGACGUCAACUCAUGGCGACCCUGUGAAAGAGACAUCUCCAAGAAU
Molecule: long non-coding RNA, 150 nt
Organism: Sceloporus undulatus (fence lizard)
Lineage: Eukaryota; Metazoa; Chordata; Lepidosauria; Squamata; Phrynosomatidae
Exons: 3
Source: RefSeq, a predicted model, not a curated record